This 1325-nucleotide long non-coding RNA is filed under the name Triticum aestivum (bread wheat). RNAcentral describes it as "long non-coding RNA (TAES_LNC011914)". The record is from RNAcentral. Lineage: Eukaryota; Viridiplantae; Streptophyta; Magnoliopsida; Poales; Poaceae.
AUGGAUUCAAUGAGGAAGACCAUUAGCCGCCACCUUUUCAGAAUUGGAUGGUGUGGUGUACCUUCAUCCUGCUGUCUAAUUUCUUAGCUUAUUUGCUUUAACUGUACUACAGUAUAUAGCAGGAUAAGGAUCCAAUCUUGUGAAGCCUCUCCAUUUGCACCAUCGUCAAAAGUUGCACAUGAGUUGAUUCACACUUUCAGAGUUCAUAGAACACCUAGAGUUAAUCUGCCUGAAGGUAUAUCAGAUCCUAUGGAAAGGGGACCCGGUUCAGAUUUGUCACUACUCUGUGUUGUUGGAUAGCCAUGGUAUGUGUUAGUUUUGUUUUACCACAGUUUGAUUCUUGGUAGUUAGGAUAUCAGGUGUAUACAUUACUUUUCUUAUGAAUUUUUUCUCUUUUAGUGCACUAUCUAUCUAUCUAAUCUCUCUAUCAAAGUUUUCAAAGAAAUUGAUGGCGGUGGCUCAGAGGCGUCAUGGUGAAUGGCGAAGCUUCUAAAAUGGACGGAAGAGAGGUGGUGACUCGCGGCUGGGGGAUGUACAUAUUUGAGGAAAUACGAUUCAUAAGGUUUCAUAUUAACAAAAAAUGAUGAUCUUUGUAAAGUAAUCUGAACAUUUUGUUGAUUCCGGGACAAUUUUAUUCUCCAAUAUGAAUCCGUAAGAAAAUAUAUGACAAUACAUUUGUGCAAACUGAUAAUGUAAGCUCAUCUCGAAACUUUAUUCUUUUUCUAAGAUUGAUUUACUUGGUGGUGCUAACUUCCAUUCUAUCAAAGCAGGACAUGUGUGCUAUUUCUGAAAAAAGAAGCUUUUCUGUUGGCUGGCAUCCCUGAUGGUGCCUUUAGAUAUUUAGGAAAAGAAAUGGUAUCUCAUAAUUCACUGGAUGUAGACCAGUAGGGUCAAUCACAAAUUGUUGGCUGUAAAUGAAUUUCUGUUUCUAGCUUUCAUAAAAUUUAGACAAGUACUGUUUAACAGUAUGUUGUGGUUGAUGGUGGUCCUAUGUGCUGGUUCAAAUUAUCAUGUUGGAUAAUAUUGUUUUUACUAGCAGUUGUAGGGCUCUUAUUAUUAUUUUCCACAAAUAUCAUCAUGUUUUGCUAUUGAUGUAAUGCUAUAUUCCUUGACUGAAAUCAAACCCUUUAGUUGCUACUGUGGUGCUUUUAUUAUUGUGUGCAUAUAUUCGAUAAUGGCUUCAGUUUCCAUUAAAAUUGUUAACUAGACUCCAGUGAUUGCGGUGGCGUAUUAUUCGGCAAAAAGUAGUUUUAUCGCCUUUUAAUGUUUUCAUUUACAUUCAUGGUCAUAUAUGCUGCUUUGGACGAAACAAAAACUCCGACCGC